Molecule: ribosomal RNA, 460 nt
Filed under: uncultured bacterium
Lineage: Bacteria
Description: partial 16S ribosomal RNA
Rfam family: Bacterial small subunit ribosomal RNA
Source: RNAcentral
CCUACGGGAGACAGCAGUGAGGAAUAUUGGUCAAUGGACGCAAGUCUGAACCAGCCAAGCCGCGUGCAGGAAGACGGCUCUAUGAGUUGUAAACUGCUUUUGUACGAGGGUAAACGGAGAUACGUGUAUCUGUCUGAAAGUAUCGUAUGAAUAAGGAUCGGCUAACUCCGUGCCAGCAGCCGCGGUAAUACGGAGGAUUCAAGCGUUAUCCGGAUUUAUUGGGUUUAAAGGGUGCGUAGGCGGUCAGAUAAGUUAGCGGUGAAAUCCUGAGGCUCAACUUCGUAAUUGCCUCUGAUACUGGUCGGCUAGAGAGUAGUUGCGGUAGGCGGAAUGUGUGGUGUAGCGGUGAAAUGCUUAGAGAUCAUGCAGAACACCGAUUGCGAAGGCAGCUUACCAAGCUACUACUGACGUUGAGGCACGAAAGCGUGGGGAGCAAACAGGAUUAGAUACCCGGGUAGUC